UCGUUUCUAAGCGUCGACCUUUGUGCUGUGAGUUGCGUUGCUUCGCCGAGUGGGUCUAGUCCUAUGGUUCCAUCAUAUGGGUCUGGCUCUACCAUGAACGUCAUCGACUCAUCGUCUUCUGCUCGGAGCUAGGUAGAGAGGUGUUGAAGGAGCACGACUUGCAAUUGGCUGACCGGCACAAGAGCCAAUUGGAAACCAAGUUAGCUAAGACGGCAAGGAUCUCAUCUGGGGCGAUUAUGGGCCUCACUACGUGUAGAUGAGGAAGGUCUGCACACUCUAGCUUUUCUCUCCCAAGCGCCUUGAAGCCUUAAGACCCCUUCGAGAAGACGAGGCACCGCCAUGGUUGAGUCCAUCUUCAAGAGAAAGCACUAGAACCGAUGUUGUAAUUGGGCUCGAAUUUGUCCCUUCAUAUGCAAAAGUUUCUUUAUUUCAACAACCAAUUGAGGAAUAUAGUGAAACGAUGCUGUUAUGAAUUUUAGCAAAUGGCAGAACAUAUUAAAAAAUGGGAGAAGAUUUGGGGACAUGAUUGCGUUGAAGCUCAACAAUAUUGUGCCUCAUUUCUCAGUGAGUUGGUUGUCCUUGUGGGCCGUAAGAAUUUGCUUUAAUUCUUACAGGACAAAGUGUAGAUCCCCCCUCUCUUUGUGUUAAUGUACAAUUUGAUUUUUCUACGUUACUUCACCCGUGUCUGUCAUCCUGAAAGUGGGAAGAAGUGUACACUCCAACAAGCGAAAUAGAAAUAGGUAGAAAGGAAGAAUCGAGUAUAUGCUGUUUAUGUUCAACUCAAAUCAAUUGUUAAAUAAAAUUAUCCUUUCUGCCACUUAAAAUUUUCUUUUUGGUCUAACAUGGUGCAUUUGCUUAUUUUUGAUAUUGCUAAAGUUGGGGUAUCACAGUACUUUGCCGAAACUUCUUUCUUAAGAGCUUUAAAAUGUAUUUGGAAGAUUAACUAUGAUGUUUGCCUACUAUGGGCAUCAAGGCCGGUGAUUUGCAGGAUUAGCAUCAUCAAUUGAUAUUAUUGGUCAGUUUUGAGGUUCUUUUUUCAUGGCAGAUGCAUAAUUCUUUCAACUUCUGGCAAUGACAUCUUUUGGCUUUUUGCAUAUAGUUUAUGAUGCAUCAAUAGGAUCCUCCAGCUAAUGCAAGAAAUUGAAGAAUGGUACUUCUAUUGAUGAUAACUUUCCAUUUGAAUUGAUUUCCGUUUUGAUUCUUAAUCCAAUGAUACUUCCAUUUAAAUUGUUUUUAGUUGUAGUUUUAAAAACUAUCAAAUCCAAAUCAUCAAAUUCAAUCCAUCGGUUCACAAUUAUAGUGGCCUCCCGACCCACUAGGUAGAGAGAAGCCACCUCCCCCGAACCACAAGUAUUAAUUGGCUUUGGCUUCUCUUUUGAUCUUUUGAUUUUAUUAUCUCUUAUGCUUUCGUAAGGAAUAGAACCAUUUGAUCAUGAGAUAUCCUGAACAUUUUGGUAGUCUAGAGACGGCAAGGAUCUCAUUUGGGCUAUUGAUCAUGGUUGAGUCCAUCUUCAACGAUUCCAUAAAUCCUGGUACGCUAUUUGUCCUUGUUACUUCUUGUAGGUCUAUAUAAUUUUGAUAAU
This is a long non-coding RNA of Prosopis cineraria, 1583 nucleotides long. RefSeq lists it as uncharacterized. The record is from RefSeq and is a predicted model, not a curated record. Lineage: Eukaryota; Viridiplantae; Streptophyta; Magnoliopsida; Fabales; Fabaceae. The transcript has 4 exons.